RNAcentral lists this long non-coding RNA (728 nucleotides) under Salvia miltiorrhiza (redroot sage). Its description in RNAcentral is "long non-coding RNA (SMIL_LNC000683)". The record is from RNAcentral. Lineage: Eukaryota; Viridiplantae; Streptophyta; Magnoliopsida; Lamiales; Lamiaceae.
UGGGUAAAUAGAAGAUGAGUGAUAAGUUAAAGUUUGAGCUGAGAUUGAAUCUUAGUAAAUGAGUUUCUAACUGAGGUUUAUCUUAUCUCAUGAACCACUCCGACGUUGUGACAUCUGAAUAUACAAGCAGAGGACGGAGGUAAGAUCGUCCAAGUACUACGAGAGUAAGCUAAGUUUGUCAGGUGGGCAUUAUUUUGAUAUACGUAUUAUACGAGCUUUCUUAAAUGAUAUGAUAUUUAUGAUUAUGAAUUGAGUUAAUGUUAUGCUUGAAACUAAUUGACUUGCCGAGUUUUGUUAAUAAUGACUUGUGUGUUACCCUCUACUGUUGAGACGAAUCGGUCCUGCCACAAGCGGGAUUUGUGCACAGAGGUGACUGUGAGCCGUCUAUCGGGUCGGCCGGUCACGGUACUUGAGAGGGAGGCCUACUUCUCAGUACCUUUAAUGAUGAGUAGUGGAUGUGGUACAUACAUAAUGGAUGUUUAAACUGCGCAGUUACUUUAUUAUGAUGUUAUGAUUUGCGAAAUUGCAUGCACAUGUUCUUCUCUAACUAAAACCCUUGUGCGUUGCUUAAUGUGGCAAGUUCAAUUUAUAGCUCUAAGAGCAAGCUUUCUUUUGUUUUUCGGCAUAUGUACACUGAGUACUUUGUACUCAGCCCUGCAUGUAUUUCUAAAUGUGCAGGAUAAGCGAGAAGGAGGAAGAUCGGUCUGGUGCUGGCGGGGACUUAUUUU